Molecule: ribosomal RNA, 402 nt
Filed under: uncultured Phenylobacterium sp.
Lineage: Bacteria; Pseudomonadati; Pseudomonadota; Alphaproteobacteria; Caulobacterales; Caulobacteraceae
Description: bacterial SSU rRNA
Rfam family: Bacterial small subunit ribosomal RNA
Source: RNAcentral
UAGGGAAUCUUGCGCAAUGGGCGAAAGCCUGACGCAGCCAUGCCGCGUGAAUGAUGAAGGUCUUAGGAUUGUAAAAUUCUUUCACCGGGGAAGAUAAUGACGGUACCCGGAGAAGAAGCCCCGGCUAACUUCGUGCCAGCAGCCGCGGUAAUACGAAGGGGGCUAGCGUUGCUCGGAAUUACUGGGCGUAAAGGGCGCGUAGGCGGAUGUCUAAGUUGGGGGUGAAAUCCCGGGGCUCAACCUCGGAACCGCCUUCAAUACUGGAUAUCUUGAGUUCGGGAGAGGUGAGUGGAAUGCCGAGUGUAGAGGUGAAAUUCGUAGAUAUUCGGCGGAACACCAGUGGCGAAGGCGACUCACUGGCCCGAUACUGACGCUGAGGCGCGAAAGCGUGGGGAGCAAACA